UUAACUCAAAUCUGUAUGGAGUUGGAACGUUUGCCGUUAGCGUCGCUGUUCCAACUGCAUACAAAUUUGAGUAA
This is a non-coding RNA of Bombyx mori (domestic silkworm), 74 nucleotides long. NCBI's taxonomy places the organism in Eukaryota, Metazoa, Arthropoda, Insecta, Lepidoptera, Bombycidae. The record is from Rfam.